GAUGAACGCUAGCGAUAGGCUUAACACAUGCAAGUCGAGGGGCAGCACAAGGUAGCUUGCUAUCUGGGUGGCGACCGGCGCACGGGUGCGUAACGCGUAUGCAACUUGCCCUAUACAGGAGGAUAACCCGUCGAAAGACGGACUAAUACUGCGUAUGCUCACAACUUGGCAUCAAGUGGUGAGGAAAGAAAUUCGGUAUAGGAUAGGCAUGCGUCCCAUUAGCUUGUUGGUGAGGUAACGGCUCACCAAGGCAACGAUGGGUAGGGGAACUGAGAGGUUUACCCCCCACACUGGUACUGCGACACGGACCAGAAUCCUACGGGAGGCAGCAGUGAGGAAUAUUGGUCAAUGGGCGCGAGCCCGAACCAGCCAAGUCGCGUGAAGGAUGACUGUCUUAUGGAUUGUAAACUUCUUUUAUACGGGAAUAACAAGAGUCACGUGUGACUCCCUGAAUGUACCGUAUGAAUAAGCACCGGCUAACUUCGUG
This 487-nucleotide ribosomal RNA is filed under the name uncultured bacterium. RNAcentral describes it as "partial 16S ribosomal RNA". It matches the Rfam family "Bacterial small subunit ribosomal RNA", at positions 28 to 507 of the family's 1533-position model. The record is from RNAcentral.